UAACAUGAGAGUUUGAUACUGGCUCAGGAUGAACGCUGGCGGCGUGCUUAACACAUGCAAGUCGAACGAAGCACUUUAUUUGAUUUCCUUCGGGACUGAUUAUUUUGUGACUGAGUGGCGGACGGGUGAGUAACGCGUGGGUAACCUGCCUUGUACAGGGGGAUAACAUUUGGAAACGGCUGCUAAUACCGCAUAAGCGCACAGCAUCGCAUGAUGCUGU
This 220-nucleotide ribosomal RNA is filed under the name Agathobacter rectalis. Its description in RNAcentral is "partial 16S ribosomal RNA". It matches the Rfam family "Bacterial small subunit ribosomal RNA", at positions 1 to 199 of the family's 1533-position model. The record is from RNAcentral. Lineage: Bacteria; Bacillati; Bacillota; Clostridia; Lachnospirales; Lachnospiraceae.